AUUCGAAAUAAAACGACAAAAAUGUGGUCGUCGUGUUAACUCUCGUGUAGGGUCUCUUUAUAGAAUCGCUUAAUACACAUUCUUUGUUGUUUAUCAGAUUUGAAACCUGAGCCAUCCACUAUAACCACCAGAUUUGCAAGUUUUAAUUGCUUGUGAUGGACCUGUCUUCAGCAACAAUCUCAGUGUCAUCGCUUGAGUAAACAGCAUCCUGUUUGAUUGGAGAAACUAUACAUGUCGGUCGUCGAUUAUAUCUUCUUUCCAUUUCUUUAAAUGUCCUCGUGUAUGCCCAUGUGUGUGUGGGUAUAUUCACGAGGACCCCCUUUUCCCUAUUAUCCCGAAUGUAAUGGAUCGAUACAAUUCCUCAGCGGAUGGAGCACUUGCGGAUGGAUACCUGGCCAAAUUUUCCAGGCAUAAAGGUAGGACAAAUGUCUUAUCUAUUCUUCCUUCUUGACUCAUUGGUGGCGUUGAUUGUAAAUCGUGACGUAGUACGGAGUACGAUAAUUCCUGAGCUAGGCGGUUGAGUGGAACUCUUACCGUUUUUGUUCACUCAGUAAGGAUUCAUUAAAUCUCCCAUUUUUAGAACAACUGCAGAUUAGGCCCUGUUUUUUUACCUCACAAAUUUGUCUGUGGGUAAAAAAAACAAUUUUAACUUUCACACUAAUUUAACACUUUAAGCGAAGUGGGAUUUUAACAUUUAUGGCGUC
Molecule: long non-coding RNA, 704 nt
Organism: Daphnia pulex (common water flea)
Lineage: Eukaryota; Metazoa; Arthropoda; Branchiopoda; Diplostraca; Daphniidae
Exons: 3
Source: RefSeq, a predicted model, not a curated record